UAAAAAUUGGUGCAAGAUGAAGAUGCAAAAUGAAAUCCCUACAGGCGAAAUAAAAAAUCAAUGGUAAAAAUAAAUUAGGAAAUAACAAAUAUAUUCUUGACUUAAAUCGGUUCUAUUAUUCGUUAAAUUUGACGCUUAAAAUGAACGGCCAAGAUUACUCUUUGCUGACAGCAAACAACCCAUACUUCUUUGUUGAUAAUCCAAACUCGUUGGAGAGUCGAUACUAGUUUGCCUCAUGAUAAAUCUUUUCACAAAGAAAAUAUGCAUUUAGCAUAUGAAUCAAUGGUGCAACUAGUGUUAGCUUAGGAGGUUCCAAGUAGCAACCGUUCGAGCGUUGAUAGAAGAAGAGAUCUAGGAUCAAGACGGAAUCGU
RNAcentral lists this long non-coding RNA (372 nucleotides) under Linum usitatissimum (flax). RNAcentral's name for it is "long non-coding RNA (LUSI_LNC008077)". Lineage: Eukaryota; Viridiplantae; Streptophyta; Magnoliopsida; Malpighiales; Linaceae. The record is from RNAcentral.